RNAcentral lists this long non-coding RNA (1034 nucleotides) under Homo sapiens (human). Its description in RNAcentral is "HSALNT0073809". The record is from RNAcentral. Lineage: Eukaryota; Metazoa; Chordata; Mammalia; Primates; Hominidae.
CAAAUCCUCAAAGAACACUCUGUUCUAGUCCCAGCUGCUGUAUCCAUCUGCGUUGUAUCUCAUUAGCAGAAGAGCCUAGUGAGAUAGGAGUUGCAUCUCUGCUCAUCCAGAUCUCUAGAGAAGGGAUCUACCCCUGGACUUUUUCCUGGAAAACUCUUCACGAAGCCAUAGGUAUGGAUGGAAGAAAAUGCACCAGUCCAAUAGCAGUAGGAGCCUGGGUAUUCUAUGCAUUUGAGUAUCUCACAUCUUCUGGAUCUGCCUAAACCCAGUCGCCAAGUACCACAGAUAUUGUGACUUACUGAUUCCCCCAGCUCAUCAAGCCUACCUCCGGUUGUUUUGUCACGUGGUGUUCCAGACAAAAUAGCUCACUUGCUGGAACCUGCUGAAGAAGUAACCUAACUGAUGUGCUUGAAAGUGCAAAUAUUUCUUGCAUGAUACAUGCUAUAAAAAUUCAUUUCUUAUUCAGCUCGAGGGAAGAUGCUGAAAUUGCUGUGCAUCCAAUGAAAGCUAAGGUGCAAAUGGAAAUUUAGAGACUAUUUUUUUAUCUUGCAAUUCAGUCAUGAUGUUCUAUUGCCACGUUUCAAGAUCAAAGAUUUAAGGGUCUGCUGGAUUUUGCUGGGGGUCCACUCCAGAAGCUGUUUUCCUGGGUAUCACCAGCAGAGGCUGCAGAACAGCAAAGAUGGCUGCCUGUUCCUUCCUCUGGAAGCUUCAUCCCAGAGGAGCACCCGCCAGAUGCCAGUGGAAUCUCUCCUGCGUGAGGUGUCUGUCAACCCUUGGAAGCACCGGGGUCAGGGACCCAUUUGAGGAGGAAUCUAGAGAGGCAGUCUGUCUACAGCGGUUUUGUCAAAACUCCUUAUUGUUUAACUAAGAAAAAAAAAUCCCCCAAACAGUUUCUGACUUUUGUUUCCUUGGUUCAUCUUCCUCUCAUUGUAUCACAGGGCUACUUGAUUGUAUUUCAGUAUUCAAUUUAUAUAUUUCAUAUUCUGCUGAAUGCAUAGAAUAUAAAUUAAAAAUUCUUUUUCUCAAGCAAGUCA